RNAcentral lists this long non-coding RNA (651 nucleotides) under Mus musculus (house mouse). RNAcentral describes it as "long non-coding RNA chr18:46616125-46616776". Lineage: Eukaryota; Metazoa; Chordata; Mammalia; Rodentia; Muridae. The record is from RNAcentral.
GAAAAUACUCCAAAAUACUAGAGACCUUUGACCAACUGUUAGGGCUAGGAAUGGCAUUUUUAAUUUCUUUGUAAAAUGUUCAAUAUUUUGUACUUUCUACUUUUAUUUAUUUUUUAUUUUUUUCAUGAAGGUGGUACCCAUGGAGAUCGGAGGACAGCGGUGUCAGGAGCCAGUUCUCUUCUUCCAUCAAGUGGGUUCCAUUGAUCCCACUCUAUCUUGUCGUUCUCCACAGUAAUCACCUUUACCCACUGAGCAAUCUCCCCAGCUCUUACUCUGUAUUUUCUAAAAGUAACAUAUAUUAUUUAAAUCGAAAAAAAAAAAGAAGACAAAACCCUAAAAUCUCUCCAGAACCAGAACCAACAACACUAAUCAUUGUAAACCAGAUUAAAAUGGUACUAAAUCAUUUUAUAAGACUUAAGAGUUGGGCUUGGAGAGAUGGCUCAGUGGCUAAGAUCACUGACUGUGCUUCCAGAGGACCUGGGUUCAAUUCCCAGCACCCACAUUUUGGUUCACAGACAACUUUUAACUCUAGUUCCUGGGGGAUCCAGCAUCCUCUCUGGCCUCUCUAAGCUCUGCACACAUACAUGGAGCACAGAUAUGCUCACCGGUAAGACACCCACAUACAUAAAAACUAGAAAAAAAAUAUAAGUA